RNAcentral lists this ribosomal RNA (415 nucleotides) under uncultured prokaryote. RNAcentral's name for it is "bacterial SSU rRNA". It matches the Rfam family "Bacterial small subunit ribosomal RNA", at positions 505 to 918 of the family's 1533-position model. The record is from RNAcentral.
GUGUCAGCCGCCGCGGUAAGACGUAGGGGGCGAGCGUUGUCCGGAUUUACUGGGCGUAAAGCGCACGUAGGCGGUCAGAUAAGUUGGACGUGAAAUCCCCACGCUCAACGUGGGAACCGCGUCCAAUACUUUCUGACUGGAGGGCAGAAGAGGAGAGCGGAACUACCGGUGUAAGGGUGAAAUCUUUAGAUAUCGGUGGGAACACCAGUGGCGAAGGCGGCUCUCUGGUCUGUCCCUGACGCUGAAGAGCGAAAGCCAGGGUAGCAAACGGGAUUAGAUACCCCGGUAGUCCUGGCCGUAAACGAUGAUCACUAGGUGUUGGGAGUAUCGACCCUCUCAGUGCCGAAGCUAACGCAUUAAGUGAUCCGCCUGGGUAGUACGGUCGCAAGGCUGAAACUCAAAUGAAUUGACGGGG